GGCCAUGGCUCAGUGGUUAAGUAGCUGCUUUGCAUGCAGAAGGUCCCAGGUUCGAUCUCUGGCAUCUCCA
RNAcentral lists this transfer RNA (70 nucleotides) under Sphaerodactylus townsendi. RNAcentral's name for it is "tRNA-Ala". It matches the Rfam family "tRNA". Rfam says of the family: Transfer RNA (tRNA) molecules are approximately 80 nucleotides in length. Their secondary structure includes four short double-helical elements and three loops (D, anti-codon, and T loops). Lineage: Eukaryota; Metazoa; Chordata; Lepidosauria; Squamata; Sphaerodactylidae. The record is from RNAcentral.